GUUUGAUCCUGGGUCAGGAUGAACGCUAGCGGCAGGCUUAACACAUGCAAGUCGAGGGGUAUAAGUCUUCGGACAUAGAGACCGGCGCACGGGUGCGUAACGCGUAUGCAAUCUACCUUUUACAGAGGGAUAGCCCAGAGAAAUUUGGAUUAAUACCUCAUAGUAUUAUGAAAUGGCAUCAUUUUAUAAUUAAAGUCACAACGGUAAAAGAUGAGCAUGCGUCCCAUUAGCUAGUUGGUAAGGUAACGGCUUACCAAGGCUACGAUGGGUAGGGGUCCUGAGAGGGAGAUCCCCCACACUGGUACUGAGACACGGACCAGACUCCUACGGGAGGCAGCAGUGAGGAAUAUUGGACAAUGGGCGCAAGCCUGAUCCAGCCAUGCCGCGUGCAGGAUGACGGUCCUAUGGAUUGUAAACUGCUUUUAUACGAGAAGAAACACUCCGACGUGUCGGAGCUUGACGGUAUCGUAAGAAUAA
RNAcentral lists this ribosomal RNA (477 nucleotides) under Flavobacterium sp. DB1.4-11. Its description in RNAcentral is "bacterial SSU rRNA". It matches the Rfam family "Bacterial small subunit ribosomal RNA", at positions 11 to 489 of the family's 1533-position model. Lineage: Bacteria; Pseudomonadati; Bacteroidota; Flavobacteriia; Flavobacteriales; Flavobacteriaceae. The record is from RNAcentral.